RNAcentral lists this ribosomal RNA (433 nucleotides) under uncultured bacterium. RNAcentral's name for it is "partial 16S ribosomal RNA". It matches the Rfam family "Bacterial small subunit ribosomal RNA", at positions 29 to 507 of the family's 1533-position model. The record is from RNAcentral.
AACGAACGCUGGCGGCAUGCCUAACACAUGCAAGUCGAACGAGACCUUCGGGUCUUGUGGCGCACGGGUGCGUAACGCGUGGGAACCUGCCCUUAGGUUCGGAAUAACUCCCCGAAAGGGGUGCUAAUACCGGAUAAUGUCUUCGGACCAAAGAUUUAUCGCCUUUGGAUGGGCCCGCGUUGGAUUAGCUCGUUGGUAGGGUAAAAGCCUACCAAGGCGACGAUCCAUAGCUGGUCUGAGAGGAUGAUCAGCCACACUGGGACUGAGACACGGCCCAGACUCCUACGGGAGGCAGCAGUGGGGAAUAUUGGACAAUGGGCGAAAGCCUGAUCCAGCAAUGCCGCGUGAGUGAUGAAGGCCUUAGGGUUGUAAAGCUCUUUUACCCGGGAUGAUAAUGACAGUACCGGGAGAAUAAGCCCCGGCUAACUCCGUG